Unclassified non-coding RNA from Macaca fascicularis (crab-eating macaque), 148 nucleotides. It matches the Rfam family "Metazoan signal recognition particle RNA". Rfam says of the family: The signal recognition particle (SRP) is a universally conserved ribonucleoprotein. It is involved in the co-translational targeting of proteins to membranes. The eukaryotic SRP consists of a 300-nucleotide 7S RNA and six proteins: SRPs 72, 68, 54, 19, 14, and 9. The record is from Ensembl. NCBI's taxonomy places the organism in Eukaryota, Metazoa, Chordata, Mammalia, Primates, Cercopithecidae.
GCCAGGCGUGGUGGUGCGCGCCUGUAGUCCCAGCUACUUGGGAGGCUGAGGCAGGAGGAUCCCUUGAGCCCAAGAGGUCGCGGCUGCAGUGAGCUGUGAUUGUGCCACUGCACUCCAGCCUGGGUGACAGAGCGAGACCCUGUCUCAA